GGGGUUGUGGCUCAGUGAUAGAGCGCUCACCUCACAUGUGCGGGGUUCUAGGUUCAAUCCUUAGCACCA
Molecule: transfer RNA, 69 nt
Filed under: Ictidomys tridecemlineatus (thirteen-lined ground squirrel)
Lineage: Eukaryota; Metazoa; Chordata; Mammalia; Rodentia; Sciuridae
Description: Spermophilus tridecemlineatus (thirteen-lined ground squirrel) tRNA
Rfam family: tRNA
About the family: Transfer RNA (tRNA) molecules are approximately 80 nucleotides in length. Their secondary structure includes four short double-helical elements and three loops (D, anti-codon, and T loops).
Source: Rfam by way of RNAcentral